AUAUCUCUCUGUACGGGAAGGAUGAGAAGCUUCGACUAAGCUUCGAUUCGAGCGAAAGCGAGAAAGCGUUGCCGCAGGCAACGACCCGAAGGGCGAAACGCGCAGCGCUGAGUCAUCCUUCCCCCACCACCA
This 132-nucleotide small RNA is filed under the name Salmonella enterica. RNAcentral's name for it is "RtT sRNA". It matches the Rfam family "RtT RNA". From Rfam's summary of the family: This family represents a bacterial cis-regulatory element known as RtT RNA. The exact function of RtT is unknown although it is thought that it may be involved in changing the cellular response in relation to amino acid starvation. The record is from RNAcentral. Lineage: Bacteria; Pseudomonadati; Pseudomonadota; Gammaproteobacteria; Enterobacterales; Enterobacteriaceae.